AUACCUCAUCUAAGGCCUACUGAGUACAAAAAAUCAAGAUUAUCCAGGAACAGGAGAAUAGUGAACCGUCCUUAUCAUGGUGUUCUAUCUGGUCAGGCUGUUAGGGAGAGGAUCAUCCAUGCUUUCCUUGUCGAAGAGAAAAAGAUUGUGAAGAAAGUUUUGAAGAUCCAGAAGACCAAGGAGAAGCAACUAUCAGGUCAGAAAAUUACAGAGUGUGCUCUGUUUUAUGUGUGUAAUCCUGCCUACUGCACCUUUUUUGGGCAGCGGCAAGAUCCCAAUAUUGUGAUGCUGCUGCUACUGUAG
RNAcentral lists this ribosomal RNA (303 nucleotides) under Triticum aestivum (bread wheat). RNAcentral describes it as "partial small subunit ribosomal RNA". The record is from RNAcentral. Lineage: Eukaryota; Viridiplantae; Streptophyta; Magnoliopsida; Poales; Poaceae.